UGGGGAAUAUUGGACAAUGGGCGCAAGCCUGAUCCAGCCAUGCCGCGUGAGUGAUGAAGGCCCUAGGGUUGUAAAGCUCUUUCACCGGUGAAGAUAAUGACGGUAACCGGAGAAGAAGCCCCGGCUAACUUCGUGCCAGCAGCCGCGGUAAUACGAAGGGGGCUAGCGUUGUUCGGAAUUACUGGGCGUAAAGCGCACGUAGGCGGGUCUGUAAGUAGAGGGUGAAAUCCCAGGGCUCAACCCUGGAACUGCCUUCUAGACUGCAGGCCUGGAGGUCAGGAGAGGCGAGCGGAAUUCCGAGUGUAGAGGUGAAAUUCGUAGAUAUUCGGAGGAACACCAGUGGCGAAGGCGGCAUCCUGGACCGGUAUUGACGCUGAGGCGCGAAAGCCAGGGGAGCAAACGGGAUUAGAUACCCCGGUAGUCCCUGAGCGGGCUGGCAAGGCGCAU
RNAcentral lists this ribosomal RNA (447 nucleotides) under uncultured bacterium. RNAcentral's name for it is "bacterial SSU rRNA". It matches the Rfam family "Bacterial small subunit ribosomal RNA", at positions 355 to 825 of the family's 1533-position model. The record is from RNAcentral.